AAGUCGUAACAAGGUUUCCGUAGGUGAACCUGCGGAAGGAUCAUUUUUGGUUUUUUCAAACAAGCUUCGAGUUUUGAAGACUCGCAAGUUAGUUAACUGAACACGUAUUUAGAACACGGCAUUGUCUGAACAAUUAAAUUAAUACACGAAUAACUUUCAACAACGGAUCUCUAGGCUCUU
RNAcentral lists this unclassified non-coding RNA (180 nucleotides) under Phylloporus sp. Its description in RNAcentral is "partial contains small subunit ribosomal RNA, internal transcribed spacer 1, and 5.8S ribosomal RNA". The stretch from base 1 to 46 matches the Rfam family "Eukaryotic small subunit ribosomal RNA", at positions 1786 to 1831 of the family's 1831-position model. Lineage: Eukaryota; Fungi; Basidiomycota; Agaricomycetes; Boletales; Boletaceae. The record is from RNAcentral.